This 423-nucleotide ribosomal RNA is filed under the name Buitinga ruwenzori. Its description in RNAcentral is "partial 16S ribosomal RNA". Lineage: Eukaryota; Metazoa; Arthropoda; Arachnida; Araneae; Pholcidae. The record is from RNAcentral.
UUCUUUAAGAAAUAAUUUAAAGUACAACCUGCUCAAUGAUAUUUCAAUAGCCGCAGAACAACUGUGCUAAGGUAGCAUAAUCAUUUGCUUUUUAAUUAAAAGAUAGUAUGAAAGGAUUAACGACUAAUUACUUUUUUUAAUUAUUUUAUUAAAUUAAAAUUAAUGUUAAAAUUCAUUAACAAAUAAGUUAGACGACAAGACCCUACUAAACUUACUAUUUUGUUGGGGCAACACAAAAACAAAAUUUUAUUAUAAAUAAACGUACAACUUUAAUAAAAAUUUAAAAACAGUUACUAUAGGGAUAACAGCGCAAUAUCUUUUCAGAAUCACUAUUUAAAAAGAAGAUUACGACCUCGAUGUUGAAUUAAUUUAUCUAAAUAAACAAAAUUUAUUAAAGUUAGUCUGUUCGACUAUUAAAAAAUU